This 87-nucleotide small RNA is filed under the name Eubacterium sp. CAG:156. RNAcentral's name for it is "GA-cis RNA". It matches the Rfam family "GA-cis RNA". Lineage: Bacteria; Bacillati; Bacillota; Clostridia; Eubacteriales; Eubacteriaceae. The record is from Rfam by way of RNAcentral.
GAAAAGAGGAAACAAAAUGAAUGAAGUUCAUUUUAAUAAGUGUUUACGCUAAACAGCCACUGACAAAAGGGAGGGGCAUUAUAUAUU